CAGUCGCCCGGGAAUACGGAGGAUCCAAGCGUUAUCCGGAAUCAUUGGGUUUAAAGGGUCCGUAGGCGGUCUUGUAAGUCAGUGGUGAAAGCCCAUCGCUCAACGGUGGAACGGCCAUUGAUACUGCAGGACUUGAAUUAUUGGGAAGUAACUAGAAUAUGUAGUGUAGCGGUGAAAUGCUUAGAGAUUACAUGGAAUACCAAUUGCGAAGGCAGGUUACUACCAAUUGAUUGACGCUGAUGGACGAAAGCGUGGGUAGCGAACAGGAUUAGAUACCCCGGUAGUCCCUGUCUCUUAUACA
Molecule: ribosomal RNA, 301 nt
Filed under: uncultured bacterium
Lineage: Bacteria
Description: partial 16S ribosomal RNA
Rfam family: Bacterial small subunit ribosomal RNA
Source: RNAcentral